GUGAAUCAUCGAAUUUUUGAACGCAAAUUGCACUCUCUUCGGAGAGUAUGCCUGUUUGAGGGUAAUUAAAAAGAAUCUUUAACCAAUUUUUUUUGGUUAAAGGAAAUGAGUUCUCCGCGUUUAUAGCGGUAGCUUGAAAUAAAUGGUAGUCUCAUUUUAGUCGAGACGCGUAAUAAUUUUAUUUCGCGAAAUCUUUAUUAUGUGACUAUCAAGUUUUGAUGCAUACAAAUUUGGUUUGUAUGCGAUUAAUACAACUAUUUUGAACAUUACCUCAAAUCAGGUAGGAGUACCCGCUGAACUU
RNAcentral lists this unclassified non-coding RNA (301 nucleotides) under Ambisporaceae sp. RNAcentral's name for it is "partial contains 5.8S ribosomal RNA, internal transcribed spacer 2, and large subunit ribosomal RNA". The stretch from base 1 to 65 matches the Rfam family "5.8S ribosomal RNA", at positions 84 to 154 of the family's 154-position model. Lineage: Eukaryota; Fungi; Glomeromycota; Glomeromycetes; Archaeosporales; Ambisporaceae. The record is from RNAcentral.